Molecule: RNase P RNA, 167 nt
Filed under: Aeromonas sp.
Lineage: Bacteria; Pseudomonadati; Pseudomonadota; Gammaproteobacteria; Aeromonadales; Aeromonadaceae
Description: partial RNase P RNA component class A
Rfam family: Bacterial RNase P class A
About the family: Ribonuclease P (RNase P) is a ubiquitous endoribonuclease, found in archaea, bacteria and eukarya as well as chloroplasts and mitochondria. Its best characterised activity is the generation of mature 5'-ends of tRNAs by cleaving the 5'-leader elements of precursor-tRNAs. Cellular RNase Ps are ribonucleoproteins.
Source: RNAcentral
UGGCACGGUAAACUCCACCCGAAGCAAGACCAAAUAGGCCCCUAUUGGCGCGGCCCGCGUUGGGGGCGGGUAGGUUGCUUGAGCCAGUGAGCGAUUGCUGGCCUAGAGGAAUGAUUGCUACCCGGGGCAACCCGGUACAGAACCCGGCUUACAGGCCGACUCCGACC